RNAcentral lists this ribosomal RNA (253 nucleotides) under uncultured bacterium. RNAcentral describes it as "partial 16S ribosomal RNA". It matches the Rfam family "Bacterial small subunit ribosomal RNA", at positions 524 to 776 of the family's 1533-position model. The record is from RNAcentral.
UACGAAGGGGGCGAGCGUUGUUCGGAAUUACUGGGCGUAAAGGGCUCGUAGGCGGCCAACUAAGUCAGACGUGAAAUCCCUCGGCUUAACCGGGGAACUGCGUCUGAUACUGGAUGGCUUGAGAUUGGGAGAGGGAUGCGGAAUUCCAGGUGUAGCGGUGAAAUGCGUAGAUAUCUGGAGGAACACCGGUGGCGAAGGCGACAUCCUGGACCAACACUGACGCUGAGGAGCGAAAGCCAGGGGAGCAAACGGG